RNAcentral lists this ribosomal RNA (2895 nucleotides) under Escherichia coli. RNAcentral's name for it is "23S ribosomal RNA". It matches the Rfam family "Bacterial large subunit ribosomal RNA". Lineage: Bacteria; Pseudomonadati; Pseudomonadota; Gammaproteobacteria; Enterobacterales; Enterobacteriaceae. The record is from RNAcentral.
UUAAGCGACUAAGCGUACACGGUGGAUGCCCUGGCAGUCAGAGGCGAUGAAGGACGUGCUAAUCUGCGAUAAGCGUCGGUAAGGUGAUAUGAACCGUUAUAACCGGCGAUUUCCGAAUGGGGAAACCCAGUGUGUUUCGACACACUAUCAUUAACUGAAUCCAUAGGUUAAUGAGGCGAACCGGGGGAACUGAAACAUCUAAGUACCCCGAGGAAAAGAAAUCAACCGAGAUUCCCCCAGUAGCGGCGAGCGAACGGGGAGCAGCCCAGAGCCUGAAUCAGUGUGUGUGUUAGUGGAAGCGUCUGGAAAGGCGCGCGAUACAGGGUGACAGCCCCGUACACAAAAAUGCACAUACUGUGAGCUCGAUGAGUAGGGCGGGACACGUGGUAUCCUGUCUGAAUAUGGGGGGACCAUCCUCCAAGGCUAAAUACUCCUGACUGACCGAUAGUGAACCAGUACCGUGAGGGAAAGGCGAAAAGAACCCCGGCGAGGGGAGUGAAAAAGAACCUGAAACCGUGUACGUACAAGCAGUGGGAGCCUCUUAAUGGGGUGACUGCGUACCUUUUGUAUAAUGGGUCAGCGACUUAUAUUCUGUAGCAAGGUUAACCGAAUAGGGGAGCCGAAGGGAAACCGAGUCUUAACUGGGCGUUAAGUUGCAGGGUAUAGACCCGAAACCCGGUGAUUCAGCCAUGGGCAGGUUGAAGGUUGGGUAACACUAACUGGAGGACCGAACCGACUAAUGUUGAAAAAUUAGCGGAUGACUUGUGGCUGGGGGUGAAAGGCCAAUCAAACCGGGAGAUAGCUGGUUCUCCCCGAAAGCUAUUUAGGUAGCGCCUCGUGAAUUCAUCUCCGGGGGUAGAGCACUGUUUCGGCAAGGGGGUCAUCCCGACUUACCAACCCGAUGCAAACUGCGAAUACCGGAGAAUGUUAUCACGGGAGACACACGGCGGGUGCUAACGUCCGUCGUGAAGAGGGAAACAACCCAGACCGCCAGCUAAGGUCCCAAAGUCAUGGUUAAGUGGGAAACGAUGUGGGAAGGCCCAGACAGCCAGGAUGUUGGCUUAGAAGCAGCCAUCAUUUAAAGAAAGCGUAAUAGCUCACUGGUCGAGUCGGCCUGCGCGGAAGAUGUAACGGGGCUAAACCAUGCACCGAAGCUGCGGCAGCGACACUAUGUGUUGUUGGGUAGGGGAGCGUUCUGUAAGCCUGUGAAGGUGUACUGUGAGGUAUGCUGGAGGUAUCAGAAGUGCGAAUGCUGACAUAAGUAACGAUAAAGCGGGUGAAAAGCCCGCUCGCCGGAAGACCAAGGGUUCCUGUCCAACGUUAAUCGGGGCAGGGUGAGUCGACCCUAAGGCGAGGCCGAAAGGCGUAGUCGAUGGGAAACAGGUUAAUAUUCCUGUACUUGGUGUUACUGCGAAGGGGACGGAGAAGGCUAUGUUGGCCGGGCGACGGUUGUCCCGGUUUAAGCGUGUAGGCUGGUUUUCCAGGCAAAUCCGGAAAAUCAAGGCUGAGGCGUGAUGACGAGGCACUACGGUGCUGAAGCAACAAAUGCCCUGCUUCCAGGAAAAGCCUCUAAGCAUCAGGUAACAUCAAAUCGUACCCCAAACCGACACAGGUGGUCAGGUAGAGAAUACCAAGGCGCUUGAGAGAACUCGGGUGAAGGAACUAGGCAAAAUGGUGCCGUAACUUCGGGAGAAGGCACGCUGAUAUGUAGGUGAAGUCCCUUGCGGAUGGAGCUGAAAUCAGUCGAAGAUACCAGCUGGCUGCAACUGUUUAUUAAAAACACAGCACUGUGCAAACACGAAAGUGGACGUAUACGGUGUGACGCCUGCCCGGUGCCGGAAGGUUAAUUGAUGGGGUUAGCGGUAACGCGAAGCUCUUGAUCGAAGCCCCGGUAAACGGCGGCCGUAACUAUAACGGUCCUAAGGUAGCGAAAUUCCUUGUCGGGUAAGUUCCGACCUGCACGAAUGGCGUAAUGAUGGCCAGGCUGUCUCCACCCGAGACUCAGUGAAAUUGAACUCGCUGUGAAGAUGCAGUGUACCCGCGGCAAGACGGAAAGACCCCGUGAACCUUUACUAUAGCUUGACACUGAACAUUGAGCCUUGAUGUGUAGGAUAGGUGGGAGGCUUUGAAGUGUGGACGCCAGUCUGCAUGGAGCCGGCCUUGAAAUACCACCCUUUAAUGUUUGAUGUUCUAACGUUGGCCCCUGAUCGGGGUUGCGGACAGUGUCUGGUGGGUAGUUUGACUGGGGCGGUCCUCCUAAAGAGUAACGGAGGAGCACGAAGGUUGGCUAAUCUGGUCGGACAUCAGGAGGUUAGUGCAAUGGCAUAAGCCAGCUUGACUGCGAGCGUGACGGCGCGAGCAGGUGCGAAAGCAGGUCAUAGUGAUCCGGUGGUUCUGAAUGGAAGGGCCAUCGCUCAACGGAUAAAAGGUACUCCGGGGAUAACAGGCUGAUACCGCCCAAGAGUUCAUAUCGACGGCGGUGUUUGGCACCUCGAUGUCGGCUCAUCACAUCCUGGGGCUGAAGUAGGUCCCAAGGGUAUGGCUGUUCGCCAUUUAAAGUGGUACGCGAGCUGGGUUUAGAACGUCGUGAGACAGUUCGGUCCCUAUCUGCCGUGGGCGCUGGAGAACUGAGGGGGGCUGCUCCUAGUACGAGAGGACCGGAGUGGACGCAUCACUGGUGUUCGGGUUGUCAUGCCAAUGGCACUGCCCGGUAGCUAAAUGCGGAAGAGAUAAGUGCUGAAAGCAUCUAAGCACGAAACUUGCCCCGAGAUGAGUUCUCCCUGACUCUUUAAGGGUCCUGAAGGAACGUUGAAGACGACGACGUUAAUAGGCCGGGUGUGUAAGCGCAGCGAUGCGUUGAGCUAACCGGUACUAAUGAACCGUGAGGCUUAACCU